Molecule: ribosomal RNA, 616 nt
Filed under: Rhodococcus kronopolitis
Lineage: Bacteria; Bacillati; Actinomycetota; Actinomycetes; Mycobacteriales; Nocardiaceae
Description: bacterial SSU rRNA
Rfam family: Bacterial small subunit ribosomal RNA
Source: RNAcentral
CGAGCGGUAGGGUCAUUUCGGGGGUACACGAGCGGCGAACGGGUGAGUAACACGUGGGUGAUCUGCCCUGCACUUCGGGAUAAGCCUGGGAAACUGGGUCUAAUACCGGAUAUGACCAAAGGCUGCAUGGCUUUUGGUGGAAAGGUUUACUGGUGCAGGAUGGGCCCGCGGCCUAUCAGCUUGUUGGUGGGGUAAUGGCCUACCAAGGCGACGACGGGUAGCCGACCUGAGAGGGUGACCGGCCACACUGGGACUGAGACACGGCCCAGACUCCUACGGGAGGCAGCAGUGGGGAAUAUUGCACAAUGGGCGAAAGCCUGAUGCAGCGACGCCGCGUGAGGGAUGACGGCCUUCGGGUUGUAAACCUCUUUCAGCAGGGACGAAGCGAAGUGACGGUACCUGCAGAAGAAGCACCGGCCAACUACGUGCCAGCAGCCGCGGUAAUACGUAGGGUGCGAGCGUUGUCCGGAAUUACUGGGCGUAAAGAGCUCGUAGGCGGUUUGUCGCGUCGUCUGUGAAAACCAGCAGCUCAACUGCUGGCUUGCAGGCGAUACGGGCGGCUUGAGUACUGCAGGGGAGACUGGAAUUCCUGGUGUAGCGGUGAAAUGCGCAGAUA